GAUGAAGAACGUAGCGAAACGCGAUAAGUAAUGUGAAUUGCAGAAUUCAGUGAAUCAUCGAAUCUUUGAACGCACAUUGCGCCCGCCAGUAUUCUGGCGGGCAUGCCUGUCCGAGCGUCAUUUCAACCCUCGAACCCCUCCGGGGGGUCGGCGUUGGGGAUCGGCCCUUUACCGGCCGGCCCCGAAAUACAGUGGCGGUCUCGCCGCAGCCUCUCCUGCGCAGUAGUUUGCACACUCGCACCGGGAGCGCGGCGCAGUCCAAUGCCGUAAAACACCCAACUUUCUGAAAUGUUGACCUCGGAUCAGGUAGGAAUACCCGCUGAACUUAAGCAUAUCAAUAAGCGGAGGA
RNAcentral lists this unclassified non-coding RNA (349 nucleotides) under soil metagenome. RNAcentral describes it as "partial contains 5.8S ribosomal RNA, internal transcribed spacer 2, and large subunit ribosomal RNA". The stretch from base 1 to 120 matches the Rfam family "5.8S ribosomal RNA", at positions 35 to 154 of the family's 154-position model. The record is from RNAcentral.